RNAcentral lists this long non-coding RNA (277 nucleotides) under Ananas comosus (pineapple). Its description in RNAcentral is "long non-coding RNA (ACOM_LNC041236)". Lineage: Eukaryota; Viridiplantae; Streptophyta; Magnoliopsida; Poales; Bromeliaceae. The record is from RNAcentral.
UAAUUAAUAAUUUAAUAAUAAAAAUAAUAUAUUAUAAUAUAUAACAUAUUAUAUUUAUAUAAUUUAGUUUUAAUUUAAUUUAUAUUUUUAAUAAAUUUGAAAUUAAAUAUUGGAAUAGCACUAUUCCAUCAAAAUAAAUUCCUUACUAUUCCGGAAUAGUCGGGAAUAACAAAAUUUGACUAGAAUAAAAUAUUCCGGCAAAAAAUUAUUUCGUUUGGCGGAAUAGCGGAGAUAACAUUCGUUAUUUCCGCUUAUACCGCCAACCAAACGGGGCCUA